AUGAAGAAGUACAAGGACCACCUCGCCUUUCUAUAUAAGGCGCACGAGAAGCUCAAGGACGAACUCAAUGCAGUGCUGAACCACCCACUAAUGCCGUCAGAAUUUGAACGAGCAUGGAAGAACCUCAUUCAGAGGUACAACUUGCAAGACGACGAAGUGAUGAAUUCACUGUGGGAUGACAGGCACGAGUGGAUCUCAUCUUACUACAAGGAAAUUUUCUGUGCUCGGAUGACUUCCACACAGAGAAGCGAGAGCAUGAACCGCAUACUGAAGAAAAUUUUUGUCAGGGAGAAGCAUGAUCUCCAUCUGUUUGCUCAGCAGGUGGACAAGUGCAUUCAGACCAGGAAGGCCGUCGAGCACUCAGAGACAGUAGCAAAUGAGUCAGAGGUAAAAACAGCAACAAAGUUUGGCUUCGAAGUUCAGCUAUCAAAAGUGUAUACAAGGGCAGUGUUUGCAGAUUUCAAAGAAACACUCUACCGUAGCACUGCAUUCAGAGCAGAACGGUGCCCUGAGAACCCGACAAAGUAUCUCGUACACCACUACAACAGAUCAGAUGCAUUUGACUGGGCAAGGCAUAAUUUCCAAGUGGUCGCCGAUGAAGAGAAAGGUGUCUACGAAUGUGAGUGCAAACUCUGGACACACACAGGCCUCUUCUGCGUCCAUGUCUUAUGCAUGCUUUCUCAUUUGAGAGUACUCAACAUUCCUGAGGUGUACAUCAUGAAGAGAUACACCCGUAACGCAAGAUCAGAUGCAAGGUUUGACAGAAGAGACUACGAACAAACAGCACUAGAUGGAACCUCGCUUUUUUGCCCUAGAAAAUUGCUGACAGAAACAGCAAUGGACCUUGCAAACAGAGCGACAAGGUCAGAC
This 870-nucleotide ribosomal RNA is filed under the name Triticum aestivum (bread wheat). Its description in RNAcentral is "partial small subunit ribosomal RNA". The record is from RNAcentral. Lineage: Eukaryota; Viridiplantae; Streptophyta; Magnoliopsida; Poales; Poaceae.